GGUCUCGUAGUGUAGCGGUUAACACGCCUGCCUCUCACGCAGGAGAUCGCGGGUUCGAUUCCCGUCGAGACCGCCA
This 76-nucleotide transfer RNA is filed under the name Staphylococcus aureus. Its description in RNAcentral is "tRNA-Glu". It matches the Rfam family "tRNA". Rfam says of the family: Transfer RNA (tRNA) molecules are approximately 80 nucleotides in length. Their secondary structure includes four short double-helical elements and three loops (D, anti-codon, and T loops). The record is from RNAcentral. Lineage: Bacteria; Bacillati; Bacillota; Bacilli; Caryophanales; Staphylococcaceae.